Dermochelys coriacea (leatherback sea turtle) is the source of this 176-nucleotide long non-coding RNA. RefSeq lists it as uncharacterized. The transcript is spliced from 4 exons. Lineage: Eukaryota; Metazoa; Chordata; Testudines; Dermochelyidae. The record is from RefSeq and is a predicted model, not a curated record.
AAGCAGUAAUAACAAGGGGAAUAUUGGUUUCGCGGAGGUCUAAACGACUCAGUAAACUGCGCCAGCUCGCUUUUAGACACCCAAAUGCACAUUCUACCACCAUUCUGCACUUGCUCAGCCUAUAGUUGAAAAGCUCCUGACUACUGUCAAGGGGGCCUGGGUAUGGCUUCAGAGCC